AGUGAACGCUGGCGGUAGGCCUAACACAUGCAAGUCGAACGGCAGCACAGGAGAGCUUGCUCUCUGGGUGGCGAGUGGCGGACGGGUGAGGAAUACAUCGGAAUCUACUUUUUCGUGGGGGAUAACGUAGGGAAACUUACGCUAAUACCGCAUACGACCUACGGGUGAAAGCAGGGGACCUUCGGGCCUUGCGCGAUUGAAUGAGCCGAUGUCGGAUUAGCUAGUUGGCGGGGUAAAGGCCCACCAAGGCGACGAUCCGUAGCUGGUCUGAGAGGAUGAUCAGCCACACUGGAACUGAAAAACGGUCCAGACUCCUACGGGAGGCAGCAGUGGGGAAUAUUGGACAAUGGGCGCAAGCCUGAUCCAGCCAUACCGCGUGGGUGAAGAAGGCCUUCGGGUUGUAAAGCCCUUUUGUUGGGAAAGAAAUCCAGCUGGCUAAUACCCGGUUGGGAUGACGGUACCCAAAGAAUAAGCACCGGCUAACUUCGUGCCAGCCGCCGCGGUAA
Molecule: ribosomal RNA, 506 nt
Filed under: uncultured bacterium
Lineage: Bacteria
Description: partial 16S ribosomal RNA
Rfam family: Bacterial small subunit ribosomal RNA
Source: RNAcentral